Molecule: long non-coding RNA, 6795 nt
Filed under: Homo sapiens (human)
Lineage: Eukaryota; Metazoa; Chordata; Mammalia; Primates; Hominidae
Description: HSALNT0362794
Source: RNAcentral
CGCCUGGACUCAAGUGAUCCUCCCACCUUGGCCUCCCAAAGUGUUGGGAUUAUGGGUGUGAGCCACUGUACCUGGCACCUCCUGCAACUUCUUCCUCAAGUGGAACCAAUGAGGAAGCAAGCAACUCAGAGCUUUCACAAGUUUUGAUUUCAAUCAGCAACGGGCUUCCAAUGCAACCCUUCUCUCCUGUAACCAGCCUCAGUAGAGAGGAACUGGAGGGUCUUUUAACAUCCGAGGACCACAUUCUUUGUGCUUUCCAAAUCAUCACCUGCCCCAUGCAACUUACAGGGUAAGUUACAUUAAACAACGUAUGUAAAUGGCUUUGUGCUAGUUAUUCACCACCACAGGGGAAGUGAGUCACGGACAAGAGUGCAGCCGCUCCAUUCGGAUCCUGGCUCUGACACUUACCUGGAAAAUGACUUAACCAUUCCCAGGAUCAGCUGUUUGUCUGUAAUUUAGGUAGUUUAAUGGCACUUGUGUCCUAGAGUUGUUUAGAAGGUUGAAUAAUAUGGAGCACUUAACAUACUUAGCACCUAGAAACACUUCCUAAAUAUUAGUUGCUGCUGUUGUUAUCGUUAUUAAAAUUUCUGCCUAAGAUCUCAUUUCAGGGAGCCCAACUCAAUCUUUGACAAGCUUAAACAAAAAUUGCUUUUCUUCAUUUAUUCACUUACACAGCAAACAUGAAUUGAGCCUGUACUGUGUUUCCAGAACUGUGCAGGACCAGAGAGGCACAGGUGAAGGAAGCAAGGCUCUGGCUCUACUGGGGAAACAGCAAGAAGAUUGCUACAAUGAGGUGGGAAGAGGGCUGGACUAGAGAGAAGCCCUGAUUAGUGUCCUUGCUACCUUUCUCUGGGAGAGCCAAGGCAGGCUUCCUGGAAGAGGUGAUCCUUGGCUGAAACUUCGAUGAAGAAAAGGAAAGAGCGCAGUGGUUAGGGAGGAAAGGGCAUUCUGGGCAGAUGAAAUGACAUGUGACAAAAUAUGGGUGAUCAUGGCAUGUUAGGAAAAUAGCAGGGUGUUCAACAUGAUUGGAGCACUGUGUGUGUGUGGUGAGGGGGAGAAUUGAGGUUGUCAAGAAGUGGUUCUCAACUGAGCAUAGUUUUGCCUCAGAGGGGACAUUUGGUAAUGUCUGCAGACAUUUUUUGAUUGUCACAGCCCAGCCGAGAAGGUACUACUAGUAUCUUUUUGGUAGAGGCUAGAGAGGCUGCUAAACAUCUAACAAUGCACAGGACAGGCCUCUGUAACAAAAAAGUAUCCAGUCAAAAAUGUCCACAGUGUUGAGAGGUUUAGGUAAGUAGGCGCUAAAACAUAAGGAGACUGUGCCUGAGAGCAAGAAGGAGUAAUUGGAAAGUGCUGGUGUGAUUAGCUCUGGGUUUUAGAAAGCUCAUUUUGGCUGCUUGUAGACAGUGCAUCAGAGGUGGAGGAGGGUGGUAAGACUGGAGGCAGGGAAAGUAAUUUGGGAGCCACUGAAAUGAUCCAGGUGAAAAACGGUCAGCAGGUGACUAGGAAAGUGGCAGAGGCAAUGGGGAUGGGUGGCUGGAUGAGAUGGUGAAGAAAGCACUAUAACUAACUAAUGUGUGGAUGAUGGGCAGGAGGGGUGAAGGAUGACCAGAGUCCUGCCUUGCAGGUCUAGUUGGAAGGUGAUGGUUUCUCCUGAGAAAGUGACCACAAAAAGUGAAGCAGGUUUGUGCGUGUGUGUGUGUGUGUGUGUGUGUGUGUGUUGAGUUCAGUCUGAGAUGUGUUGGACUCACAAUGUCCAUGGGACAUCCAAGUGGAGAAGCAUCUUGGGUGACCAUAUGUGUGAGUCUGCAGCUCAGAAACAGGCCUGGGGCUGGAGAUGAAGACUUGGGAAUGAUCUGCGUAUAUAUUUGGUAGCUUGAGCCACAAGAGUAGAUGACAUAACCCGUGGUGGGUGUGCAGAAUUAGGAGAGACGUGCACCAAGAAGCCAGGUGAUCCCCAAUAUUUAACCAUCUGGAAGAAUAAGAGGAGCCUGCCAACAGAAAUUGGGAGGGAAUGGCCACAAAGGCUACUGAGAAGGGAAGCAGUUCUUAAGAAGGGGGAAGUGAAGAGGUAUCACUACUGCAGAGGUCAAGUAGGAUAAGAACUGAAGAAUGUCUGUUGGGUUUGGCAAUGGGGUAGUCAGUGGGCACCUGGGCAAAAGCAGUUUUGGUGGAGCAAUAGGGAUAACAGAAACAAGACUGCUAUGGUAAGAGGAGGAAGAGGGUGUUGAGGAAGUGGCCAGCGAGUCUACACCACUUGCUGGAGGAGCUUGGCUUUGGUGCAAAGCAGAGAAGCCAGCUCACUCAUUGACUUAACCUCCAAGAAACACAAAAUCAUCCAUAUCCUGGCUCAAAUUCCAGCACUACCAGGAGAUGGUUGGCCCCUAGAAAUGCCAUCCCACUUCUCCUCUGCUUAUCCUAUCCUAUCUGUCAGUCUGUUGAGCCCAGGCUAAGCGCUACCUCCUCAAGCAAGCCUUCUCUGCCUGCCGUCACACUUUAAGUGAUCCUGACAACACUGAAAAUGUGUGUCUCUUCCAUUCAUGUUAGUUCUACACUUCUGAGUAUCUCCUCAAUAUAUUGCCUUGUUUUACUAAUAUGCUCGUUCUGUUUGCCUUAUUUAUCAGCUACCUUAAACCUCCCUGCAACUAGAGAUUCUCUUUAAGUAUUUGUUGAAUAAAUGAAUGAAUCAAUCGAUGAUCCAGAGCCUGGUAGAGGCUUGUGUCCAUGGUGGAUGAGGCUCAGAAAAUACCUGUAGAAUCGAAAUAAAUGCAUGUGUGCUCUGAUCUAAACUCAGCUAAACUUUCUCCAGGGGGUAAAGUUCAAGUUGAUUAGUCAAUUGAUUAAUUAAUUCAUUAUGUAAUGGAAAAACUCCUUCUAUGACCUGGGCAGAGUUAUAGGCAGUGAACAAGACAGACAAGGUCCUUGUUGUCAUGAAGUUUGCUUUCUGAAGGAGAGAGAUAAUAAACAAGAAACCAGUAAGAAAGCAAGAUUAUAUCAUUUUGGUAAAUGUUCUUGUGGAAAUAAAUGUGAUGAUGUGUAACAAAAGUACCAAAUAGGAGAGUGGGGUGGGUGGGCUUCUUUUAGAAAGAGUUCUCGGAGAAGGCUUAUCUGAGGAGGUGGCCUUUUAACCAGUACAAAUGCUUUAGCUUGGCCAGUGGAGCUGGGACCAGGAUGACAAGGGUCACUUGUCAUGCCAGUGAGUUUGAGCUUGUAGACAAGAGCCUGAUCAUGAAAGACUUUGCAGAUGGUGGUAAUGGGUUUGGGUUAAUUGCUACUAUGUGGGAAGACUUUGAAUGGGAAGCAUGGGGACAAUGGCCUGUGAUACAUGUUAUCAAAUAUGGUCGCAGGGGCUAGUGAGGUGGCAGCAGAGAUAGGGAGAAGUAGACGGACUGGGGAAGGUAGAAGAUGGGGCAGGGGAGGCAAUUACUGCAAAGACAUAUUCCUUCUAAGCUCACUGAGUGUUCAUGGUCUCUGGGAGCAGAGGUUCCUGGAGGGGAAAGAGGAUAAUGUCACUUCCUGAGGAAGCGGGAAGAACCCAUCUGAGACGUGGGGACUGUGCUGGUUCGUUUCUAAGGGGCCUUCCAGAUCUCACAUGCCAAUCGUCUUGGUCUAUGUCAAUUGUUGGGGCAUCCAAAUGGGGAACUGUUGUCCAGGCCGAUUUCACAGAACAACCGCCCAGUCCAUAUCUCCCGAGCCAUUCACCCUUGCAGUGGCGUUAGCUCUUUCACCAGCUUUUAUCUGCCCCGUGGGGAUGUUGGCCAAGCCCAGUUAACAAGCAGUUGAUCAGCCCCAGAGAUCAGGUCCCUGGAGUCUGUCACUUUUCUGAGGGUGGGGAGAGAAUCCUGGAGCAGAACAUGUAACUAGAAGGGCCACCUGGCUUCCUAUGGUCUGAGGGAGAGAAUGGUGGGAUCUCUGGCCUGAAUCAAACCUCCCUUUCUCAGUGUCCAUCUUACCUCUCUGCUGUACCUUCGUUAUUUUCCAGCAGCUCCUCAGCCCGUUCCUGUGGGACCCUUCUCUGCCAAUCCCUACACCCACUGUAAAUUUCACCGUGGGAGGGAGAUGGGCCUUGAGGGCUGUAUUAGUCUUCUAUUCUGCAUAACAAAUUGCCUCAAAUUUAGCAGCUUCAAACAACUCAUGUUUAUUAGCUCAUCGUGAGUUCAUCAGCAGUGUGGGCCCAGCAUGGCUAGGUUUUCUGCUCAGGGUCUCACAAGGCUAAAAUCAAGAUGUUGUCUGGGCUGUGUGCUCAUCUGGAGUUUAGGGUUCUCUUCCAGGCUCACGUGGUUGUGGCAGAAUUCUGUUCCCUGGAGUUGCAGGGCUGAGGUCCUGUUUUCUUGCUGACUGUCAGAUGAGGGCUGCUCUCAGGUCCUCGAGGCUGCCCACAUUGCUUGCCACGUGCGUGGUCUUUUCCAUCCUUGAAGCCAGUGAUGGAGAAUUUCCCUUGGAUUGAAUCACCCACAUGGUUGGACUCUCUGACUUCAGGAAGAGAGCCCUGUCUCUUUUAUGGGAUCACCUGAUUAGAUCAUACCCAUAGAGGGCAGUUCCUUUUCCUUAAAGUCAACUGUGGCAUGUAACAUCACACAACCACAGGAGUAAAAUCCAUCAUAUUUACAGUCCCAGGGAUUAUGCACAGUGCACCAGGGGACAACUGAAUUCUGCCUGUCAAAAGGGCCAAGCAGGACUUUAUUGGUGAAGAACAGUGGAAUGUCAUUCUUGGUUCUUCCAGAAAAAAAUCACUCAGUAAAGUUAGAGGUUCUCUUGCCUUUUGGGAAGUCAUCAAAGAAUCUCAUGGAGGGUUUGGACCUUCACCCUAGAAACAUCACACCAUGUUUUCUAUAAUUGCAGGGUUCAUGGUCCCUUGAAGCCUAUUCAUAGUUUCCAGGUUGAAAAGCUCUGCUGCAGGGUGUGGGGAGGGAUGCAGGUGGAGGUGAGGGCUGAAUAGUGUGAGCUGCAUAUCUGGAGCUGUGGUGGUUUUUUUAGUCUUUAAGCUGUCAUGUGUUGGGGGUUGGGCAUGGGAGGGGCAUCCCAAGAGCUCCUUGGUAUUGACACCAUCUCCAAGGUGAUCUCUGCUCUGCCUGGUGCACACAUGUUUUUCUCCUGUUGCAACAGCCCACUCUUGUAGAAGAGCAGACCCCUCAGUACCAGGUCUGACCCUGGACAGCUUGUACCAGGAGCUACAGCACACUCCCCCACAAGCCUAAAGUUGGGAUGAGCCCCCCGAGAAUUAGAUCAGAAAAGAUUAAAUGCAGAGGUGAUCUGUCAGGUCCCCUUUGGAAGUGCUGGUAUGGAGAGGAUUGACUGAGUCUGUUUAGGAACCUCCAAGCUCUGUAGUAACUUUAGGGCUAGAAAGGAGGAUGCCUAAGAUUCAGGAUCCUGCAGUGAUGAGUCAACAUUUCUUGGGGAAGGAGGCAGGGCUGAGGAUUAAACGGAGAUGAUGGGUAUCGUUCUCUUGCUCAAAGGCACUGGACCCCAAGGCCUCCAGCUCUUCGCUCCCAUUUGAAAUUCAAGUCCUGAGCACACCACAGUUGUGAUGCAGGGAAAGAAUGUGCUUAUCAGAGAGCCUGGGCAAGUGGGCCCCUUGUGAGUACCGUUCAACCUCAUUUAUGUCAUUGGCACCAAAAGUAGACAUCAGUCUCUUGAAAGUUUGAUUAAUGCUGGUCACACUCAAAGACCCUGGGUAGCAUUCAUUUACUAAGCAAUUACUAAAUACCAGUUUCUGUGCUAAAUGCUGCAUCAGUCAGGGCUCUUAAUGGCAGGCAGCAGAAACUCUCCUUGGCUGAUCUAAGUAGAAAAAUCCAGGACUGAAAGGAAACGGAGUAGCUCAUGAAAUUGCAGGAAGGGCCGGAAAACCAGACAUGGAGCCAAAGUCAGGCUGCAGAACAGGUCUAGGGAGGAUCCCACUGCUGCUGAGACCUAGACCUUGUGUCUGGCACCCAGGAUGUUGUAGGGCUCAGACCCUGGAUCAAUGUAUCCUGCAGUGCCUCUGUGGGUACUGCAACUCCAGGAACUCAAUCUUGUCAACGCCACCGCCAGAGAGAGGCCUUCUUGGCCUCCAUCUUUUUGGUCACUAGCUCCAGAUUCAAAAUCUUGAAUAGAUGCUUCUUCUCUUUGAUAGAGCCCAGUCAUAUGCGUUAGCUGCAAAGGAAGCUGAAAAUCUAUUAGGAACUUUUGUCUUCAAAAAUGAGAGGCCUGUCCUCCACCAAGAUCCAUAGGAAAUGGAAUCCAAGAAACCACAGGAAGGGGUGAGGUGACUGGGCAGCUCACAGCAUGCAUGCUACAUGUGAAUUAUCUCAUUCAUUUCUCACACUACCCAGUGAGGUAGGUAUUGUCAUCCCUACUUCAUAAAUGAUGAUAUGAGGUACAGAAAGUUUAAGGAACUUGCCCAGGACACGACACGCAGCUAUUAAGUGCUAGACCCAGUCAAUUUGAGUCUGACUUGGACUGUCUGACUCCAGAAGCCACCCUCUCAGACACUGCUGUAUACUUCCAGUGAAUGUUGAUGAAAUUUUCAGGGUUGCUAAGCUGUGGAUUUCAGAUCCUGGAUUGUAUGACCUAAAAGAGAGACUUCCCUAGGAGUGAGGGUCCCUGAACAGUCAACUGGUUUCCAAGAAUGGGCUCCCUCUCAUCACCUUAUGACAGUAAUCCUCUGUCCAACAGCCAAAGAGGUCCUGUGGGGAGGGCUUGCAGAUGGGAGUGCGCAGAGCCCAGCUCAAAGCUCCUGACUAGGCUCUUGUUGAGUAUUCCUUUGAUUCCUGCUUCUGUCUUUUUAAAUCAAUGGAGACAGGGGAGGGUUAUCUCCAU